GCGGAUGUGACCUAGCGGUAAGGUGUCGCCCUCCCAAAUACCGGUCAGGCGAAAACCCGAGUUCGAACCUUCGGCAUCCGCA
Coniosporium tulheliwenetii is the source of this 82-nucleotide non-coding RNA. The record is from the annotation of a GenBank genome assembly. NCBI's taxonomy places the organism in Eukaryota, Fungi, Ascomycota, Dothideomycetes.